AGGUCCAGGCAAAGUGUAACAUCACCUAGGUGCUGGACCCAGGUACAUGCCACAAUCUACCCUCUGGGUGGGACCCAGGAGGAAGAGCAACACAACUCAGAAGAUGGGUUCAGGAGCCAGACCCAGGCAGGAGAAGCACCUCACUCAGGUACUAGGCAAAGAUAUAUCUCACAACCACAUCUGUGGAAAGGUCCAGAGAAGAGCUUAACAAUUCCACACAUGUCCUGGCUUCAGGUGGAGUGGCUCACACCUGUAAUUCCAGAACUUUGGGAGUCCAAGGCAGACAGAUCACCUGAGGUCAGGAGUUUGAGACCAGCCUGGCCAACAUGGCAAAACCCCAUCCCUACUAAAAAUACAAAAAUUAACUGAGCAUGGUGGCAGGUGCCUGUAAUCCCAGCUACUCAGAGGGCUGAGGCAGAAGAAUUGCUCGAACCUGGGAGGCAGAGGUUGCAGUGAGCUGAGUUCACGCCACUGGACUCAAGCCUGGGUGACAGAGCUAGACUCCACAAAAAAGAAAAAAAAUUAUUUUCCUAAUUCAGGAAUUUAACAUGAUUUUCACAGCCUCACAUUUUCAAAAAUGGUUUAUUCUAAAAGAGAAAUGUGAUUAAACCAUUUUUUCCCCAAAAAGAGUAGAGUGACAAAUUAUAAUCUAGUGUACAGUUAAU
Molecule: long non-coding RNA, 665 nt
Filed under: Homo sapiens (human)
Lineage: Eukaryota; Metazoa; Chordata; Mammalia; Primates; Hominidae
Description: HSALNT0396590
Source: RNAcentral